AGUGAACGCUGGCGGUAGGCCUAACACAUGCAAGUCGAACGGCAGCACAGGAGAGCUUGCUCUCUGGGUGGCGAGUGGCGGACGGGUGAGGACUACAUCGGAAUCUACUUUUUCGUGGGGGAUAACGUAGGGAAACUCACGCUAAUACCGCAUACGACCUACGGGUGAAAGCAGGGGAUCUUCGGACCUUGCGCGAUUGAAUGAGCCGAUGUCGGAUUAGCUAGUUGGCGGGGUAAAGGCCCACCAAGGCGACGAUCCGUAGCUGGUCUGAGAGGAUGAGCAGCCACAGUGGAGCUGAGACACGGUCCAGACUCCUACGGGAGGCAGCAGUGGGGAAUAUUGGACAAUGGGCGCAAGCCUGAUCCAGCCAUACCGCGUGUGUGAAGAAGGCCUUCGGGUUGUAAAGCCCUUUUGUUGGGAAAGAAAUCCAGCUGGUUAAUACCCGGUUGGGAUGACGGUACCCAAAGAAUAAGCACCGGCUAACUUCGUGCCAUCCGCCGCCGUAA
This 506-nucleotide ribosomal RNA is filed under the name uncultured bacterium. RNAcentral's name for it is "partial 16S ribosomal RNA". It matches the Rfam family "Bacterial small subunit ribosomal RNA", at positions 29 to 523 of the family's 1533-position model. The record is from RNAcentral.